UAAGUAGAGUGCAUCGUUCAAGCCAAGCAAGCAGUGGUCAAUACAAAUCCACCAUGAAGACCUUUCUCAUCCUUGCCCUCCUUGCUAUCUGGCGACCACCGCCACAACUGCAGUUAGAGUUCCAGUGCCACAAUUGCAGCCACAAAAUCCAUCUCAGCAACAACCACAAGAGCAAGUUCCAUUGGUGCAACAACAACAAUUUCUAGGGCAGCAAUAACCAUUUCGACCACAACAACCAUAUCCACAGCCGCAACCAUUUCCUCCACAACUACCAUGUCCGCAGCCGCAACCAUUUCCACCACAACAAUCAUAUCCACAACCACAACCACAGUAUCCGCAACCACAACAAACAAUUUCGCAGCAACAAGCACAACAACAACAAUGACAACAACAA
This is a long non-coding RNA of Triticum aestivum (bread wheat), 394 nucleotides long. RefSeq lists it as uncharacterized. The record is from RefSeq and is a predicted model, not a curated record. NCBI's taxonomy places the organism in Eukaryota, Viridiplantae, Streptophyta, Magnoliopsida, Poales, Poaceae. The transcript has 3 exons.